UCCCGUUGGGACCCAAUGAGAUGAUAGUGUCAGCGUUCCAAAAGCCACAGUAGAGUUCAGUGUUCAGGUCCAGUGCAUGACGCAUGUAAAGCAUACGUAUAUGAUGGGUAUCAUGAUGUUAUUGUGAUUCAGAGAAGAGAAUACGGUUCAGGUUUCAGGUUAUGAAACUAUUCGGCCAAUUCGGCUGACAAUUUACGUUGCCACAUAACGUUGUUUUGGACGUGUGAUAUUGUUUUGCAUUCGUUUAGAUUGAAUUUCUAAUAUGCCAAAAGUUGUUUCAAGGAGCAUAAUAUGUUCCGACACGAAAGACCAAGAAGAAUACAGCGAGGAAAAACCUUUGCACAUAUAUUACUGCUUAUGUGGUCAAAUGACACUUAUAUUAGAUUGUGAUAUUGAAAAGUUACCCCUGAGGAAAAGGGACGGCGCAAGAGUGAUAGAUGGAAGCAAACACGCGCAUAAAAUGACCUGCGAACGAGACGAAACAGUCUAUUUGAAGCGACACGAGGGAAUUGAACGGCAACACAGACAAAAGUGCAAAAAAUGUGGUCUUUUAUUGUAUUACAAACAUGAGCCUGGCUCCAACAUAGUCUUCAUAGUUAAAGGAUCAGUAAUCAAGAGUUCCGGAGAAGGUCCAAUGACGGAUAUUUACAAUCAAGUAGCCAUUGAAAAGCCCAAAAAAAUUAUGGUCACCAAGCAUACAAAAAAUAUGGGCAAAUUCAGUUCUGUCACAGUCUCCACUAUUGACGAAGAAGAGGAUGAAAUUGAAGCGCGCGAAGUAGCGGAUUCGUAUGCAAACAACGCCCGUAUCAUUGAAAAACAACUCGAGAGAAAAGGCAUGAACAAACGGAAACCAAAUAUGCCGGCUCCUACAGUUGAUACCAAACGAUCAAGACCCAGAGGGACUCUGUUGGAUGUUUAACUUUGUCCCGACAAGCCAAAUACAUUCAGCAUCUCUGUUCAUUCGUGUCAAGUUUAAAUAUAUAUUUAUUAACAUUACAUAAACUACGGAUAAACUAUCGAUAACAACGAGAAAUAAAUGGCGAAUAACUGGCCGUAUUAGCGGGACCUACCUACCAACUGUAUCUCGUUGGGUAUACAGGCUACAACAACUACACUUGACACGUGGAACAACUAUUAUGACAGUUUUUCAUAUAUCAAUGUAUAUUCGGAAUUGAGAUACCAGAGAAGACAUUUCUUGAAUCGCUUUAA
RNAcentral lists this unclassified non-coding RNA (1209 nucleotides) under Venturia canescens. RNAcentral describes it as "sTING ER exit protein, transcript variant X2". The record is from RNAcentral. Lineage: Eukaryota; Metazoa; Arthropoda; Insecta; Hymenoptera; Ichneumonidae.